RNAcentral lists this ribosomal RNA (349 nucleotides) under uncultured bacterium. RNAcentral's name for it is "bacterial SSU rRNA". It matches the Rfam family "Bacterial small subunit ribosomal RNA", at positions 1 to 334 of the family's 1533-position model. The record is from RNAcentral.
CUGUACAGUUCAGAGUUUGAUCCUGGCUCAGGAUGAACGCUAGCGGCAGGCUUAACACAUGCAAGUCGAGGGGCAGCAUGAGACGGAGAUUCGUCGAAGUCUUGAUGGCGACCGGCGCAAGGGUGCGUAACGCGUGAGCAACUUGCCCGUUUCAGGGGGAUAACCGGUGGAAACGCCGACUAAUACCCCAUAGUAUCACUUUAGGGCAUCCUUUAGUGAUUAAAGAACUUCGGAAACGGAUAGGCUCGCGUGACAUUAGCUAGAUGGCGGGGUAACGGCCCACCAUGGCGACGAUGUCUAGGGGUUCUGAGAGGAAGGUCCCCCACACUGGAACUGAGACACGGUCCAG